UUCUGUAAUAGCCAGCAAGAGUAAACAACAGAGGUGCGAAACUUACAUGUUUUCAUUCACCGAGACUGUUUAUUAUUUCAAGAAUUUCCGGUUUUUAUUCACAGAAGAAAUCAUUCUCGGUUCACACAUGGUGAUAAAUAAGCACAUGGGAUAUCAAUUAACAACUUUAGCACCUGUUGUCAAUGGUAAAUUGAUGGGACGAACUCUUGGCCAUUCAUCAAGAGGAUAACAACCAGAUGACUCAUCAUGACGUAAGGUUACAUUAUCACAAACACGGUACAGAAAAGGGCAAAAGCGAGAUUACAAAAAGUCAACUGAAUUAAACUAAAGCGAGUUUUACAUGAUUUUGAACUGUUGGGGACUCGUCUUUCUCAGCCAAAAAGGCUCACUCUUUUUUUUUCUUAAGAACGUGUAAUUUUCAGUUGAGGCUGAGCCGUUCUUAUUUUUGGAGGUGUGAUAUGUUCUUAACGAUGUUUUUACAUUUUAGUGUAUAUAAGAAUAUAACACCCAACGAAUUAUUAGGAAGAUCUAUAAUGAUCAAUAGCAAUAAUAAAGGUUGUUACUAUGAGCACAAUAUGAUUUUGCAUUUUAGAACGCACCAGGACUAAAAAGGAAAUUUGUUUCUGCUAUCUGAGCCUCGGUAUGUUCUUAGCAUGUUCUUUAAAUCUGGUGAAAUCUCUGGAUGUUCUUAUAAAAGGGUUCAUAUAAAAAAAAGUGUAUUUAAGACUAUGAUAACGGAUAAUAAACUAAUUAUGUUCUGUUGAUGUUUUGCUUUAAAAUAUAAAACACGCCCUUAUUCACGCCAAAUAAUAAGUAUUUUUCUUCUAAGUCUUUACGAGAAUAUAAAACUUGAACCCGCUAGGGACGUACAUUUGCACUUAACAUUUUUUUUUUUACUUACAACGCGGAAAGAAGAUCUGAGCGUUUUAAUUAUUCAGCUAAUUUAGGGCUCAAGGUUGCUGUUUUGUUUGGGUUCUUAAUAAAUCGAGGUAUGUAUUUGUAUAUAAAACAUCAAAGCAUAAAGGAAGUUAGGUACAAGCUACUGCAAUAACCUGACAACAGGCCCACAGGCUGUGCAAACACGACCAUCACCUGCGAGUCCGAAGUUUGACAUGUUUGGUUCUGUUCAAGUUCUGCUUGCUUCGUUUCACAGUCUCAAAUCCAUUUUUCGACAAAACAUUUGAGAUGUUUCCUUACUGGAUUUAAAUCCAGUAACAUUUCCUUCUAUCGAUUUCUUUUUAAAAUAACAUUAUUUCGUCAUCUGAAGGGAAGAAGAAGAAAGGAAGGCCUAAAACCACUUGACGAACAACAGUAGAGAGAGAGAGAAAUGAAGAAUGCAGGAUGGAAGACAUGGAUAAGGCAAAUGCUGUUGCUGCCAACAGAAGACACUGGAAGCAUUCUGUGGCGUUAUGUGCCACUAGGCACAAAAUAGAUAGGUAGCCCUCCGAUUGUUAAGAACGCCUGACAUGUUUUGAUAGCGCUGCACUGAUCGGAAGGGGGAUGGCCGGGGUGACGCUUGCUUGUUUAGCGGGAUGCUCUGCGGCUUUCGCUUCGUGCUCUGCCAAACUAGCUAUGUCUCCCGAUUUCUGGCAUCGCUUACUGUGUAGUGGUUUGUUGUCUUCAGUUCAAGACACAACAAGUUCAGAAGACGAGACUUAUUGCCCUUGGGUUGUAGUCUGCUGUCAGAUAAUAUCAUUUGGUCUUGUGUUUGUGAUGAAUGCGCUGAUGUGGACUUUGUUUGUCAAGUCUUUGCAAAAGUGUUCUUCAGCUGUCUCAAGUGUUACUAACAUUGGGACCAACCUUAUUUUUAC
Molecule: long non-coding RNA, 1811 nt
Organism: Nematostella vectensis (starlet sea anemone)
Lineage: Eukaryota; Metazoa; Cnidaria; Anthozoa; Actiniaria; Edwardsiidae
Exons: 4
Source: RefSeq, a predicted model, not a curated record